UCUGGGUGGCAUUUCUGUGUACUGUGUUUAAACCUAAGUUGGUCGUUAUCAUGUUAGGUUUAACCGGUGUGUGGUAAUGCAGCCUUUUGGCCGUAUCUGUGUAACAGCAGGUGUUAGUUGAUCGGUUUAAACCGGUUAAUUGGCAUGCUUUUAGAUGCCUUUNAACGGGUGUCGAGAGCGGACGGCACGUUAC
Molecule: ribosomal RNA, 193 nt
Filed under: Melogonimus rhodanometra
Lineage: Eukaryota; Metazoa; Platyhelminthes; Trematoda
Description: partial small subunit ribosomal RNA
Source: RNAcentral